This 492-nucleotide ribosomal RNA is filed under the name uncultured bacterium. RNAcentral describes it as "partial 16S ribosomal RNA". It matches the Rfam family "Bacterial small subunit ribosomal RNA", at positions 29 to 507 of the family's 1533-position model. The record is from RNAcentral.
AGUGAACGCUGGCGGUAGGCCUAACACAUGCAAGUCGAACGGCAGCACAGUAAGAGCUUGCUCUUACGGGUGGCGAGUGGCGGACGGGUGAGGGAUACAUCGGAAUCUACUUUUUCGUGGGGGAUAACGUAGGGAAACUUACGCUAAUACCGCAUACGACCUACGGGUGAAAGCAGGGGAUCUUCGGACCUUGCGCGAUUGAAUGAGCCGAUGUCGGAUUAGCUAGUUGGCGGGGUAAAGGCCCACCAAGGCGACGAUCCGUAGCUGGUCUGAGAGGAUGAUCAGCCACACUGGAACUGAGACACGGUCCAGACUCCUACGGGAGGCAGCAGUGGGGAAUAUUGGACAAUGGGCGCAAGCCUGAUCCAGCCAUACCGCGUGUGUGAAGAAGGCCUUCGGGUUGUAAAGCCCUUUUGUUGGGAAAGAAAAGCAGCAGGUUAAUACCCCGCUGUUCUGACGGUACCCAAAGAAUAAGCACCGGCUAACUUCGUG